The sequence is a small RNA, 58 nucleotides long. It matches the Rfam family "F6 TB sRNA". The record is from Rfam.
CGGAUAGCUCCGUGUUGGCGUCUGACCCCCCGACCCGACGUCAGCACGGGGCUCUAAC